AGAAUCAACGCUGGCGGCGUGCCUAACACAUGCAAGUCGAACGCGAAAGUCCCGCAAGGGGCAAGUAGAGUGGCAAACGGGUGAGUAACACGUGGGUGACCUGCCUUCGAGCGGGGGAUAACGUCCCGAAAGGGACGCUAAUACCGCAUAACAUCCUGCCUUUGAAGAGGUGGAGAUCAAAGCUGGGGAUCGCAAGACCCGGCACUUGAAGAGGGGCCCGCGUCUGAUUAGCUAGUUGGUGGGGUAACGGCCUACCAAGGCAACGAUCAGUA
This 272-nucleotide ribosomal RNA is filed under the name uncultured soil bacterium. RNAcentral's name for it is "partial 16S ribosomal RNA". It matches the Rfam family "Bacterial small subunit ribosomal RNA", at positions 26 to 285 of the family's 1533-position model. The record is from RNAcentral.